GAUGAACGCUGGCGGCGUGCCUAAUACAUGCAAGUCGAGCGAACGGACGAGAAGCUUGCUUCUCUGAUGUUAGCGGCGGACGGGUGAGUAACACGUGGAUAACCUACCUAUAAGACUGGGAUAACUUCGGGAAACCGGAGCUAAUACCGGAUAAUAUUUUGAACCGCAUGGUUCAAAAGUGAAAGACGGUCUUGCUGUCACUUAUAGAUGGAUCCGCGCUGCAUUAGCUAGUUGGUAAGGUAACGGCUUACCAAGGCAACGAUGCAUAGCCGACCUGAGAGGGUGAGCGGGCACACUGGAACUGGGACACGGUCCAGACUCCUACGGGAGGCAGCAGUAGGGAAUCUUGCGCAAUGGGCGAAAGACUGACGGAGCAACGGCGAGUGAGUGAUGAAGGUCCUCGGAUCGUAAAACUCUGUUAUUAGGGAUGAACAUAUGUGUAAGUAACUGUGCAGAUCUUGACGGUACCUAAUCAGAAAGCCACGGCUAACUACGUG
This 497-nucleotide ribosomal RNA is filed under the name uncultured bacterium. RNAcentral describes it as "partial 16S ribosomal RNA". It matches the Rfam family "Bacterial small subunit ribosomal RNA", at positions 28 to 507 of the family's 1533-position model. The record is from RNAcentral.